RNAcentral lists this long non-coding RNA (509 nucleotides) under Elaeis guineensis (African oil palm). Its description in RNAcentral is "long non-coding RNA (EGUI_LNC068899)". The record is from RNAcentral. Lineage: Eukaryota; Viridiplantae; Streptophyta; Magnoliopsida; Arecales; Arecaceae.
GUCAUUCCAGCCCUUCCAUGGCUUCUCUCAUCUCCCACCUUCCAUUCCCUCUCAUCACCUUCUAUCGAUCCUUUCUCAUCUUCUCUACCUCCUCUCCGAUCUCGUGCAUAUCAACAACAGCAAGAAAAGAAAAAAAGAUAAGGCUAUAUAUUCUUUUUCAUGGAUCCAAUAAAACAGUUUUUCCUUUGUGUUUUUUAGAUUUUCUAAACAGAACCCCUCUCUCUCUCUCUCUCUCUCUCUCACGCACACGCAUAUAAGGUAUUCAUAGGAUUUUCCAGGAACUUUUGUCAGAGCAAUCUUCUUGUGCCUUUGACUUCCACGACAAUUGGUAGACCCCCUCGUGUCAGAAGGAAAUCUUGGCAAACCGAUCAUCAUAUCUUCAAUAUCUACCACCUCUCUCCCUAUCUCUCUCCCCCUCCUCCCUCCCUCUCUCCCAACGAAAUGAAUAGGAAGAACUCCAACAAAAGCCGUAACCCUAAUAAGCCCACGUUGGCCUUCUAUUUUCUAAG